This is an RNA transcript of Salmo salar (Atlantic salmon), 3501 nucleotides long. RefSeq lists it as uncharacterized. The record is from RefSeq and is a predicted model, not a curated record. Lineage: Eukaryota; Metazoa; Chordata; Actinopteri; Salmoniformes; Salmonidae.
UGUUUCUGGGCUCGUUACCCGCGGAUAAAAACAGAACAAUACGGAAGUAAAACGGUAGGAAGGUUUUUUUUUUGUCCUCGUCGACGAAGACAUACAUGCUCAAUACCCAACUUUCAGUCGACUGAAACAUGUCUAAACUACAGUCGUUUCGUGUGUUUUUAAAUGAGCGUUUAACCGCGGCAGCUGUGGAGAUUUUCGGGGCAGUUGAAGAAACGGUAGCAGAGUACCACGAGGAGAAUGAUCGACUACGGAGACUGCUGCGGAUCACACCGGAGAUAAAACUAUGUAGGAUAGACUCCCUGCAGCUCUCUCUCUCUGUCUCUGAAGAGGAGGUUACCCCUGAGCAGCAGCACUGUGAGCAGGAGUGGAGCCGCAGUCUGGGGCAGGAGAACCCAGAGCUUCCACAGAUUAAAGAGGAACAGGAGGAACUCAGGACAAGUCAGGAGGAAGAUCAGCUUCAAGGUCUGGAGGCUGAUUUCAAAUUCACUCCUUCCUGUGUGAAAAGUGAAUGUGAUCAGGAGGACCCACUUCAGCCCUUCACUUCUCCCCAAACCCAGACUGUGGAGAACAGAGAGAGUGACCCUAAACAAGUGGAUCUCACACAUUUUGUUACUGUGACCCACCUUAAGGAUCUCUACAUUAUCUGUGACCGUCCAGAUAAUCAAAACAAUGCCUCCAGCCACAGGUCAGCUGUAAGUAGUGACCCAGUAGGACUUGACAGCAGCCCACGAUUGGAUCCCAACCCAUCAAUGGCGGAGCAUUGUUCCAAACCCAGCUCGUCUAGAAAGACUCACCACUGCCGUGACUGUGGUGAAAAGUUUGCUCUGAAAGCUGAUGUGCGGAGGCAUAUGACUCUCUACAAGAAGAGACUUCGUGAAUGCAGCUUCUGCAGAAAACGCUGCACCUCCACCUGUAAACUUAAGGCCCAUAUCCGCCUCUGUCACAGUGGGAAACCCUGCACCUGCCCUGUUUGUGGCAAGACCUUCAAACUCAAAGGAUAUCUGUCCAAGCACAUGAGGAUUCACACAGGAGUGGGAGAGAAACCAUUUAGCUGUGGAGACUGUGGGAAAAGCUUCAAUUUGAAGGGCAACCUAAAGAACCAUAUGUUGACUCACACAGGAGAGAAAUCAUUUAGCUGUGGUGACUGUGGGAAAAGAUUCAUUCAUAAGUGGAACCUAAGGAGCCAUAUGCUGACUCACACAGGAGAGAAACCAUUUAGCUGUAGUGACUGUGGGAAAAGCUUCAAUCAGGAGGGGAACCUACGGAACCAUAAACGGACUCACACAGGAGGGAAACCAUUUAGCUGUGGUGACUGUGGGAAAAGCUUCAAUCAGAAGGGGUCCCUAAAGAAGCAUGAACUGACUCACACAGGAGAGAAACCAUUUAGCUGUGGUGACUGUGGGAAAAGCUUCUAUCAGAAGGGGAACCUAAGGAACCAUAAACUGACUCACACAGGAGAGAAACCAUUUAGCUGUGAUUGCGGGAAAAGCUUCACUCAAAAGUCUAACUUACUGACGCAUGUGAAAAAAAUACACAAAGGAGGAAAACAGGAUGAAAACUGAAAGAAAAGAAAAUUAGGACAAAGAUCUAUUUAGUCAGAAGAUGAAAAUAAAAAGUUAGGAUGUGGACAAUAUUCUGAGUACACGCUCAUAGACACAAAUAGCUGGAAUUUAGUUAAUGAGAGAUUAGUCAGAUUAACUGAUGACUAAAAUAGCAGUGCAGAUGGCACUAUUUUGUUAAGUGCAGAGAUGUAUUAUAUGUAAUGAAUAUGUAGGGGACUUCUGAAAUUCUACAGAUUUUGUAGCCCAGCAGAAAGUUCUGCAUAACCCAAAUCCAGAGGUUGUCAGUUCAAAUCCCAGGUGGGGUCAUAUUGAAAAGUCUACUAAGUGAUCAUGUCAAAUGUAAUCAUAUUGUCAUUGCUUACACCAUUUUUGCUAAACAGUGUAUCACUAAUCUUAAACAGAAUACAUGGUCCCAAAUUGUAUUGGUCACAUACACGGGUAGCAGAUGUUCUCGCGGGUGUAGCUAAAUGCUUGUGUUUCUAGCUCCAACAGUGCAGUAAUAUCAAACAAUUCACAACAAUACACACACAUCUAAAUACAAUGGAAUUAAGAAAUAUAUAAAUAUUAGGAUGAGCAAUGUUGGAGUUGCGUAGACUAAAUGCAGUAGAAUAGAAUACAGUAUGUUCAUAUGAGAUGAGUAAAGCAAAAAUAUGUAAACAUUAUUAAAGUAACUCGUGUUCCAUUAUGAAAAUGGCCAGUGAAUUCAAGUCUAUGUAUAUAGGGCAGCAGCCUCUAAGGUUCAGGAUCAGGUAACCGGGUGGAAGCCGCCCAAGAGAACAUUCUCAAAUAUGUGGGUGUAAAACACUGUUAAAAGCACUGUGUGUGUGUCAGUGGCUGUCCCUAGCAUUGCCAAAAGACAAAGAGCUGUGACUGGACCAGUGGUUCACCAAUCAGGGCUUUGAUGGGCUUGGCAACAGUAACAAGGGGUGAUGUGUAAUGAAACUAGGGUGCGCGUGCCCUGGGUAAACCAUUAUUUUGGGGAGAGAGAACGUGUCUUUACGAGCAUUGGGUAACGUCCUCGGAACAAACCGGGAACUAGACAACAACCUCCAGGAGAGCAUGACACAACGUCCCAUGAACCUUCAGGGACCAUGACACAACAUCCCAAGAAUGCCUCGAGACCAGCCAGGAACUAGACAAAUCCUCUAAGGAACCAUGACACAACGUCCUGACGACUUUAGGCGACCAUUUUGUGACGUCCUGGGAGGUCCUAACGACUCAUUGUUUACAUGGAAGUUAUGUUAUUCAUUAAAAAGAUUGUGAGCCAAAGAUGAAAACCUUUCCUACAAGUAAUAUUAUUUGACUGACUAUGGCUUUCCAAAUCACCCAACACUGCUAUUUGUAAGGUUAAUUUUAAAUGAAUGUUGUGAUUUUUUUUUAACCAUUCCUGAACCUGUGACCAGGAACAAGCUACAUGGGACAAUACCAGAAUAAAUGAUCUACGGAUUCUGUCUCUGCAGCCAAAUCUACAGAGUUGAGAUUGUUGUAUGCCCCAUAUAUAUAGCAUUCUGUUGGUGGCAAGUAUGUUGUAUAAUAAUUGGAAAAACUGGAAGUGUUGAGUCAAGUGUUGUUUUUUGUAUCAGUUCAUAAACCAUGUGCCAUGGAAUCGGUACAUCGAAAAUCUCUUCCUAUUUUUUUUGCAAUCUGUAUGGCGCAGCUGUCAACAUUUUUGACCUCAAAUGUAACUGGUAUAUUUUUCAAAUUAUGCCAAUUCUUUCCAGCCAAUUUGUAUCUUUAAUAUAUGGCAGACAAGCAAGUGCCCUACCUUCUCCCUCUUCCACUUGCCUCCUCCAUUUUUGUGGUAAUGCAUCAAUCAGUUAGUUGGUUGUAAGUUUGGAUUGAGCAGACAUUCCUCUAUACACUGCUCAAAAAAAUAAAGGGAACACUUAAACAACACAAUGUAAUUCCAAGUCAAUCACACUUCUGUGAAAUCAAACUG